AUUGAACGCUGGCGGCAGGCCUAACACAUGCAAGUCGAGCGGAUGAAGGGAGCUUGCCCCUGGAAUCAGCGGCGGACGGGUGAGUAAUGCCUAGGAAUCUGCCUGGCAGUGGGGGAUAACGUCCGGAAACGGGUGCUAAUACCGCCUACGUCCUGAGGGAGAAAGUGGGGGAUCUUCGGACCUCACGCUAUCAGAUGAGCCUUGGUCGGCUUAGCUAGUUGGUGGGGUAAAGGCCUACCAAGGCGACGAUCCGUAUCUGGUCUGAGAGGAUGAUCAGUCACACUGGAACUGAGACACGGUCCAGGCUCCUACGAGAGGCAGCAGUGGGGAAUAUUGGACAGUGGGCGAAAGCCUGAUCCAGCCAGGCCGCGUGUGUGAAGAAGGUCUUCGGAUUGUAAAGCACUUUAAGUUGGGAGGAAGGGCAGUAAGUUAAUACCUUGCUGUUUUGACGUUACCAACAGAAUAAGCACCGGCUAACUUCGUG
RNAcentral lists this ribosomal RNA (484 nucleotides) under uncultured bacterium. RNAcentral describes it as "partial 16S ribosomal RNA". It matches the Rfam family "Bacterial small subunit ribosomal RNA", at positions 30 to 507 of the family's 1533-position model. The record is from RNAcentral.